AGGUUUAUAUUCUCUCCAGCCGCGGUGUUAGUAUAUAUUCUUGGUCCAAUUUAACUAUUCCAGGUUUAUAUAACGCGCCAUUUUGCUAUCGAGAUUACUCUCUAGGGAGGGUAAUAUAUUCUCGCGUAAACGUUCCGUCUAAGACGGUAGGAACUGAACUCUAUAAGAACGAAGGCUUGAAGUUCUUUUUCUCGGUGGCUCGAGACAACAACGGUCCUGUCCGUACCUCCUUCUCUGCGGAUGGUACCGACCAGGCCCUGGCCCUGCGUUUGUGCUAUUACCGCAGUUGCUGGGCCUCCUCCCGGGCCCCUCGCGGCCGCUGCCGUAGUCGAGGGACCUCGUCGGGGACGACUUCUUUUCGUUGUGGGACUGCCGGUUGGUGGAGCGGUACCAGCCGCGGUUCCAGAGCGUGUAACUCUCGGAGCUGAUGCUCUAGUAGCUCUUGCUGGAGAAGUUCGUGCUGACCUCCUCGGCCAGGUGGCACCUCCACGACGUCAUGCACAAGGAGUUCACCCGCGACCGCAAGGACCACCCCGAGGAGUGGCCGCAGUAGCGCAGCGAGUAGUUGGAGCGGUAGCUCUUGUAGAGGCCGUAGUUCUACGAGGUGUACCAGGUCGAGCAGGCCCUGUUCUCCAUGACCCGGCCGAAGAAGAUGAAGAGGCCGAAGUUGAACCGAGAGUGCAAGCAGCGGCGGCACGAGACGCAGCAGAAGCGGGGGUGGCGGCGGCCGGGCCCGUAGGGGCUCUAGUUCCGGAUGGAGUUGCCGCAGCUGUGCGGGUUGUACAAGCCGCGCGGCGUCGAGUAACAGUUCUAGUAUCCGUCGUAGACGCGCCACAGCAGCCCCGACCUAGACCCGUUCCUUCCGGGCGACCACGUGUAGCCGCGCACGGAGCGGUUGGACGAGUCGGUCCCGCCGAGGCCGGCCAAGGCGGAGGCGACCUUCACCGACGCGAUGAAGUUGUUGCUGGCGCUGGCCGCCCUGGAGUAGUGGACGCCGCGCAGCAGCCCGCACACGCGGCGCAAGGCCAGCGGGCACCCGCCGCACGACAAGCGCGACCUCCUCCACCGCUGCACCACCGCCUCGCGCGACGACACCGCGUGGAAGAAGUCGUGCCGGUGGCACCACCAACACGACGCCCCGAAGUAGCUCCACACGGCGCCGCCCGCCACGCCGGAGAAGCCGCGCCCGCCCGAGUAGUAGAAGCUGCAGCCGCUGCAGUGGCAGGCCAUGGCGGACCCGCUGGAGGAGGACCAGUGCGAGCAGCCGCAGUAGCCGCCGCAGGAGCCGCGCGAGAUGUUGGUGCAGGAGGUGUACCACGAGGCGGAGAUGUUGGAGUAGUUGCUGUUCCCGGCCUACCGCUUCGACCGCGACCGCGACCGGCACACGCACAAGUGCAGCCGCCCCGACAUGCACGAGGGGAAGCGGCACGGCACGUGCGGCACGCUGGGCCGCAAGCCGCGGCGCACGGGCCGGUGGCCCUCCUCGCCGUUGAAGUUCGUCAAGUUGACGGGGCGGCCCGUCAUGUUGCUGGACCGGUGGGAGGACGUGCGGUGGUUGCACCUGCGGUGUGCGUUGUAGAAGAGGUGCCCGUGGGGGCCGCUCAAGGCCGACCUGAGGGACGAGUAGAAGAAGCGGUAGAUGACGCACGACCCCGAGAAGUGGAAGCCGUAGCGGCACGGCAGCCCCGAGAAGGAGGGGUAGUAGGAGUACCCGCGGCGGAUGCCGGCGUAGCACCGCGAGCACGAGGUCUCGCGCCACCGCCGCUCGUAGCUGGUGCCGGAGAUGCGGCACGAGCCGCGGCGCCGCGAGUACAGCCCGAGGUACUCCUACUGGCAGAGCGAGACGCAGUAGAAGGACCUCGAGUGGUUGUUGGAGUGAGACGACGGGUACUGGUACAAGCACGACGAGUAGCGGUUCUGGCAGCCGCUGCGGAAGUUGGGGUCGUAGAUGCUCUAGUAGGACCUGGAGUUCCCCGACGGGAAGGAUCUUGGGUUCGGCCUCGGCACCUACUUCCUGGAGUGUCAGCCGCUCGAGCGGCGGCGGUUCCGCGCGUGGUAGUCGGAGGUCCACCAGCUCUUUCACAGGUGGCAGGACCUCCACGACGCCUUGUGGCCGGUGUUGCCCAAGGGCCACCACCUGGCCGGAGCCGGGCCGGACAGCCUCGACGUGCCCGACCAGGAGGCCAGCGUGGAGCACCGGCAGGACUCCUUCGCCACCAAGGACCGCCUCUUCUCCUCCUGCCUCCUCACCCUCCGGUCCCUCGCCAAGAGCAGCCACCUUGACCGGCUGUUCUUGACGUUCUAGCUGCUGGAGCUCGAGUGCGGCCUCCUCGACCUCUACAUGCACCUGGAGGUGGGCAAGUGGUUGUGCUGCGGCAUGUGGCACCACCUCUGGUACAGCCACCGGUUCCGGCACCACGACAAGGCGAGGCAGCGCGAGGCCGUGUACGAGUAGUACGGGUUCAUGGUCCCGGGGCUCUAUAGAGGCGAACACCCCUAGAACUGCUCCGUUCUGGACGCCCGCGUGUUGUAGGAGCCGCGUAAAGGAGUGGACAGUUUCUUCUCGUUCCGUGUGAUUUCGAGUUCGACUCCGACUUUCGAUGAUCGUGGUAAAAACUCUUAGACCUAACGAUUUAGAGUCAACUAACUCUGAACAGAGCCAGGUACCGAGGUACGAUAUAAGCACUCUAGAAGACACUUCUAGACACGUUUUUCAAAAAAAACACAUUAAACUUACUCUGAACUAAUUCAGAAUCAACUGAUUUUAAAUCCUCCAUUUAUGUGGCCGUCAGUGUCUUAAACGUGCGCCGCCAGUCAAAUCACAUGUUUGAACGUUUUAUGCACAAAACCAAUAGUUUGAACGUGCCUGCACGUUUAUGC
This 2880-nucleotide ribosomal RNA is filed under the name Triticum aestivum (bread wheat). RNAcentral describes it as "partial small subunit ribosomal RNA". The record is from RNAcentral. Lineage: Eukaryota; Viridiplantae; Streptophyta; Magnoliopsida; Poales; Poaceae.